CUGCCCAAGAAGUUCAAGAGACUACUCUGCAGAGUUGCACUCGAAGGCACCUGCAGAAUAUUCCGGAACUUCUUCACACGCACCUAAGCACCUAAAAACAAAAACCAAAAACAUUGAUAAAAGACAAAAGACAAAAACACCACAAAACCCAAAUAAAACAAAAAAAAAAUGGCCUUGCAUGUUUGCCUGCAUGAUGCCCGAGAUCCCCCGUUAGAGGGGGAGGUCAACGUUUAUUUAUAGGCAAUCGAUGGAAUCACGUGUGGAUCAACACGGCAGCAGCUGACGUUGGACCAAUCCGGGUGGAACGCGCUCAAGAAGGGACGCCAACCAAACGCAUGGGAAGACGAAGCCGCGAAGCCGAUGGAGCCCACAAUCGAUUCCUAAGCGAACCGCUGUAAUCGGGAGAAGACGCCUAAAGACAACGGCUCCACCGGAGCCACCCCCCUGAAGCCGGGCCCUGAUCUCUGUUCCCACUACACUGUCCCCACGAUAAUUUCCCCCUAUACAUUGUUAAAAUCGGUACCGGCCGUCACCGGGCUGCAGUACUUAUGUGUAUUUACAUAUAAUUGUUGUUAUCUUACUAUGAUAAUUAAUUCAAUAAAGCACCAUUCGUGCGCGUCACUAUUAGAUCGACGAAAGCCGGCGCUCUUCGGAGUGUCCUGCAAAUACCGAAUCUAGCCAAAUGCCUCGUCAUCUAAUUAGUGACGCGUAUGAAUGGAUCAACAAGAUUCCUUCUGUCCCUAUCUACUAUCUAGCGAAACCACAGCCAAGGGAACGGGCUUGGCAAAAUCAGCGGGGAAAGAAGACCCUGUUGAGCUUGACUCUAGUCUGACUCUGUGAAGAGACAUGAAAGGUGUAGCAUAGGUGGGAGAUUGUCAAAUUGCCAUCGUUCGCGCGGUGGUCCGGUGAUCGCCAAUGAAAUACCACUACUUUGAUCGUUUCUUUACUUAUUCGGUAAAGCGAAAAAAUUGUGGCCAAUUUGGCGGUGUUUAUGUCGCUGUUGGUCAUUGUUUUCAUGUUAGAUUGAAGCUUUGUUUACAGCCGUCGCUUUGUGUCGC
Molecule: non-coding RNA, 1058 nt
Filed under: Trichinella patagoniensis
Lineage: Eukaryota; Metazoa; Nematoda; Enoplea; Trichinellida; Trichinellidae
Description: Eukaryotic large subunit ribosomal RNA
Rfam family: Eukaryotic large subunit ribosomal RNA
Source: Rfam by way of RNAcentral